ACUUCGGCCGCCCCAAACCCUCUCUUCCGCGGCGGCGGCCAUGGAGAUGAAAGAGGCCGCCGCGGCGGCGGCGGCGGCCGGACCCGACCCCAAUGCGCGAGAAUCCCAUGGAGCCGCGCGGAGUGGCGACUGCGACGAGGCCGACAGCGAUCUCAUCAGCCGCCUCCCCGACGACGCCCUCGGCACUAUCGUCUCCCUCCUCCCCACCAAGGACGGCGGCCGCACGCAGGCCCUCUCCCGCCGAUGGCGCCACCUCUGGCGCUCCGCGCCUCUCAACAUCGAGGUCCGCUCCCCUGCCAGCCCCCAGCACCCCUCCUCCGUCCCCCCCUCCGCCGUCCCCAACAUAAUCUCCCAACACCCCGGCCCCGCCCGCCGAUUCUCCUUCCGCUGCCGCGGCGCCGGUGAUCUCUACGCCCAGACGGAGCGCUGGUUCGCCUCCCGGGCCCUCGCCAACCUCCAGGAGCUUGAUAUCGGCUACGAGUACCCCUCUGCACGUAUAAGCCACCCGCUGUCGCAAUCCGCGUUCCGCUCCGCAUCCACCCUCCUCGUCGCCAAGAUCAAAGAUUGCAGUUUCCCGGACGCGGUCUCACGGUCAAUGAAUUUCCCCCUCCUCAACCAGCUUACCUUGGAUUGUGUUUCGAUCUCGGGGGACGCGUUCCACGGCUUGCUCUCCGGCUGCCAUGCCUUGGGUUGGAGAGCUUAUCCAUGCUCGAAGUUCAUGCUGCUGGUUGCUUCCAUGUUAGCUCACCAACUCUUAGGAGCAUUGGCUUCCGUGAUAGCUCUGAUGAAAAAGCAGAAUUGGCCUUGAAAGGUUAUUGUUACCGUAUAGUCACCUGAAUGAUCGUGUGACUAUCCGGAUUAUUAGGGCACCUAAACUGGAGAUAUUUGGGCCUUUCUCGCCGGACUUGUGCCAACUCCCGGUCUUCCAGGGAAUGGGCCCAGUCAGCUCCGCAAACUCGAUAUCUACCGUGAAGGUUUUGGCUCUCGGGUGUCAUAGUUAUCGUCUGAAUGCAGUUCUUGACAUCCUCAGGUGGUUCCCCUGUUUGGGAAAGCUCUAUGUCACCGUGAGUGUUCAUCUUGGCCUGCUUUAAAUUUUGGCAUGCAAAAGCAAAAUUUGCCUCAUUAUGACCGACCACAUCCCAUGGAAUGCCUUCAGACCCAUCUAAAGGAAGUGGUGUUGAAGUAUUUCAAUGGUUACGAGCAACAUAUUGACUUUGCCAGGUUCUUUGUUUUGAACGCAAAAGUGGUAAACAAAAUUGAAUUCCAUGUACGUGAGGACCACUACAGCAAUGAAUUUGUGGCUCGUCAACACACGCUGUUCGAAGCCGAAAACAGAGCUUCUCCGGAUGCUCAAUUUGAAUUCAGGAAAACUUGUGGUUCUAUUGAUUAUCAUGUCAGCAAGCAUAUCCACGAUCUGUCGGUGGCCGACCCCUUCGCAGACAGGGUUGAUGCCUGAAGAUUGCCCUCUUUUGUGCUUAUUCUCUAGAUGGGGUUGAUGCAAAAGGAGUCCACUUCUGAAAUAUUGUAAUGGGUAGGAAUGCAAAAAAAUUACUGCUGGAAGUUGUAAAGUGGGAUGGAGCUGGUAACCCCACCCACCAGAACUCUUCUGGCCCUUUUGGCAACUUAACUGUCCUUUCAGUUAUAUACAGAAGUAUGAGAAGUUUAGUUGCCGAUUAGAUUUUUCUGGAUGCACACAGCUUAUGUAUGAUGCUUAUGAAA
RNA transcript from Triticum aestivum (bread wheat), 1719 nucleotides. RefSeq lists it as uncharacterized. The transcript has 3 exons. Lineage: Eukaryota; Viridiplantae; Streptophyta; Magnoliopsida; Poales; Poaceae. The record is from RefSeq and is a predicted model, not a curated record.